CACGAACAAACGCUACCAUGGCGAUUAUCCCCUGAAAUUUGCAUCGUUCUUCUCCAUCAGUCGGUCUCCAUUCUUCACUCCGGCUAGGUUUUUGAAAUUAGGUUGGAAACUAUAGUCGAUAAACGAAUUGAUUCCUCUUCGCUGUUUCUAUCGAACCAUUGAUCAUCUUGUCAGACAGGAAAGUAAAUUUUUGAAGUUCUUAAGGUUUAUGUGGAACCCUCUAUCAUGGGUUAUGGAAGCAGCAACUAUUAUGGCCAUUGCACUGGCCAAUGGAGGAUUUUUAAAGAACGUGCAAAGUGAUAUGCUCCUCAAAAGUAGAGCAAGCAACAUGAGUCUGCUUAAGACACUAUUCAAGCAUUGGAUGUUCUCAGGGAUGCUCCAUCGAAACUGUAAGAUUCUUAAUGCUACCUUAUUUUAUCAUUUGAAAAUGUCUUGGUCAGUAGUUUAUUUUGGUUUGGGUAUGUUGUUGUGUGACUUUAUAAAUUAUAAUAGUGUACUCUAUGUGGUUCUAUAGGAAU
Long non-coding RNA from Cannabis sativa, 518 nucleotides. RefSeq lists it as uncharacterized. NCBI's taxonomy places the organism in Eukaryota, Viridiplantae, Streptophyta, Magnoliopsida, Rosales, Cannabaceae. The record is from RefSeq and is a predicted model, not a curated record. The transcript has 5 exons.